RNAcentral lists this ribosomal RNA (454 nucleotides) under Paguristes sp. USNM 1297274. RNAcentral describes it as "partial large subunit ribosomal RNA". It matches the Rfam family "Bacterial large subunit ribosomal RNA", at positions 1930 to 2584 of the family's 2925-position model. The record is from RNAcentral. Lineage: Eukaryota; Metazoa; Arthropoda; Malacostraca; Decapoda; Diogenidae.
GCCGCGGUAUUCCUGACCGUGCGAAGGUAGCAUAAUCAUUAGUCUUUUAAUUGAAGGCUUGUAUGAAUGGUCGGACGAAAAAUAAUCUGUCUCUUAACCGAAAUUCGAAUUUAACUUUUAAGUGAAAAGGCUUAAAUAUAGUAAAAAGACGAUAAGACCCUAUAAAUCUUUACAUUACCUAAAAUUUAGAGCUAGAUAUAUGUAAAAUGUAUUUAAAUUUUUUAUAAUGUUUUGUUGGGGCAACAUAGAUAGCAAAAAUUAUCUGUUUAUAAAAAUUACAAAAAAUUUUUGAGUUAGGAAAACAAGAUCCUUUAUAGAGAUUUCAAGAUUAAGUUACUUUAGGGAUAACAGCGUUAUUUUAUUUGAGAGUCCAUAUCGAAAAUAAAGUUUGCGACCUCGAUGUUGAAUUAAAAUUUCUCUAUGGUGCAGCAGCUGUAGGAGAAAGUCUGUUCGA